RNAcentral lists this ribosomal RNA (911 nucleotides) under Thyronectria aquifolii. RNAcentral's name for it is "eukaryotic LSU rRNA". It matches the Rfam family "Eukaryotic large subunit ribosomal RNA", at positions 1 to 942 of the family's 3401-position model. Lineage: Eukaryota; Fungi; Ascomycota; Sordariomycetes; Hypocreales; Nectriaceae. The record is from RNAcentral.
UGUUGACCUCGGAUCAGGUAGGAAUACCCGCUGAACUUAAGCAUAUCAAUAAGCGGAGGAAAAGAAACCAACAGGGAUUGCCCUAGUAACGGCGAGUGAAGCGGCAACAGCUCAAAUUUGAAAUCUGGCCCCCGCGGUCCGAGUUGUAAUUUGUAGAGGAUGCUUUUGGUGCGGUGCCUUCCGAGUUCCCUGGAACGGGACGCCAUAGAGGGUGAGAGCCCCGUCUGGUUGGAUACCAAUCCUCUGUAAAGCUCCUUCGACGAGUCGAGUAGUUUGGGAAUGCUGCUCUAAAUGGGAGGUAUAUGUCUUCUAAAGCUAAAUACCGGCCAGAGACCGAUAGCGCACAAGUAGAGUGAUCGAAAGAUGAAAAGCACUUUGAAAAGAGGGUUAAAUAGUACGUGAAAUUGUUGAAAGGGAAGCGUUUGUGACCAGACUUGGGCUCGGUCAAUCAUCCAGCGUUCUCGCUGGUGCACUUGGCCGGCCCAGGCCAGCAUCAGUUUGCCGCGGGGGAGAAAGGUUUCGGGAACGUAGCUCCUCGGAGUGUUAUAGCCCGUUGCGUAAUACCCUGCGGCGGACUGAGGUUCGCGCAUCUGCUAGGAUGCUGGCGUAAUGGUCAUCAACGACCCGUCUUGAAACACGGACCAAGGAGUCGUCUUCGUAUGCGAGUGUUCGGGUGUCAAACCCCUACGCGUAAUGAAAGUGAACGGAGGUGGGAGCCUCGGCGCACCAUCGACCGAUCCUGAUGUUUUCGGAUGGAUUUGAGUAAGAGCAUACGGGGCCGGACCCGAAAGAAGGUGAACUAUGCCUGUAUAGGGUGAAGCCAGAGGAAACUCUGGUGGAGGCUCGCAGCGGUUCUGACGUGCAAAUCGAUCGUCAAAUAUGGGCAUGGGGGCGAAAGACUAAUCGAACCU